UUUUGGUGAGGAAGCAAACAAGGCCAGAGCAAACCUUAUUGGGUGUCAUGGGAUACAAUAAGUAUGUCCAAAUAUAUGGGGGGUCUUGGCUUCAGAGAUUUUGAGAUACUUAAUCUAGCCCUCCUGGCAAGACAGGCAUGGAGGAUAUUAGAGAACCCAGAUUCAUUGAGCAUAGAAUACUUAAAUCGGUGUACUUCCGAUUUUCUCACUGUUGAUCUUGGGAGUCAUCCGGCCCAGAUUUGGCGCUCGGUUUUGGAAGGGUGGGAUAGUCUGAAAGUGGGCCUCAUUAGGCGCAUAGGUACUGGUACCACCACUCACAUUUGGAACAGGAACUGGAACCCAAGAAAGGAGAAUAUGCGACCCAUUGUUUCUCUUGUGGCUCACCACCACAGAUAG
Molecule: ribosomal RNA, 396 nt
Filed under: Triticum aestivum (bread wheat)
Lineage: Eukaryota; Viridiplantae; Streptophyta; Magnoliopsida; Poales; Poaceae
Description: partial small subunit ribosomal RNA
Source: RNAcentral